This 232-nucleotide long non-coding RNA is filed under the name Trifolium pratense (red clover). RNAcentral's name for it is "long non-coding RNA (TPRA_LNC001618)". The record is from RNAcentral. Lineage: Eukaryota; Viridiplantae; Streptophyta; Magnoliopsida; Fabales; Fabaceae.
ACUUCACGUCAUUACAUGUCAUUUUAAGUCAAUUCGAGUAAUAUUAGAGCACUUUUGGUUGCUUUUGAGCUCAUAACGAAGGAAGAAUACCAUCAAGUUAAAGCUACUUGUUAGUCAAGGAAUUUGAAGGAAACAAGGGUAAAUGCUAUGACUAGCGCAUGAUACCUGAAGAAAUGGUGCACAAGGCGCAAGAAAGCCAUGAAUCAGAGUGGCAAUUCUGCCAAUUUCGCAC